AGAUCUUUUAAUUCUUGAUGGAUGAACGAAGAGAUACAUGUUGCUAUUGGCGCCCCUAAAUCCCUAGAACUAUGCACCCUUUGAGCUAAAUAGUUCUUACGUGAAAGUGAAGGAGCAUUAACUACAGAAGAAUGAUUAAAUUAUGAAAAAGCAAAGGGUUGUCCACAUUGGGAAAGAGACGCAAGAAGAGACUAACGUUUUAGACAAGAAUAAAACUUGGGAAUUGGUACCCAAACCAGAAAAAUGUAAUUCAGUCACUUGAAGAAAAAAUUCUGAUGAUAUCAUUGAUAGGAUUAGAUGCAGACUUGGAAAAAGGACCUAUUGCAGAACUAACAAGAGAGUGCAUUCGACCACAUGACUCUUGACUAAUCAGAUUGGGGGCAAAAGUCUGGGACUAAAAUCUAUCACAUGCUCAAGCUCUCGCUAUAUGCAUGGUUCGGUAAAGUUCGAGCUACAAGGAUCUAUAUCAAGACUUUACAAAUUAAUGUCUUGAUAAAAAUAUGUGGUUUUCCUACAUAGUACUGUUCUUUUGGCAUGGUAACCUGAUGUUAUUAAGAAGAAUGCGUGUGAGAUUAUGUCAAAGAUCAAUUAUGAUUGCUGACAGAGACAUAAUCGUAAUGCAACUUAGUGUAAGUGAAGGAAAGUGCAAAACUAUGUCAGCUGAAGAAACAAAAUCCAAUCUUUCUAUUUGGGUGUUCAAGAACCUAAGUUAUGCGGACUCUUCACUUCGGAUGCAAGCUCAGAAUUAGUGGUAAGGCAUGUUGGGUUCUGAUGAAACCUAAUUUUCUAAUAGUAUAGCAGUUACUAUAGUAUUUUAUCACAAGUACUUCAUAAGUUUCCUUUUAAUUGAAUUAAAUAUUUUUCC
Molecule: long non-coding RNA, 865 nt
Organism: Capsicum annuum
Lineage: Eukaryota; Viridiplantae; Streptophyta; Magnoliopsida; Solanales; Solanaceae
Exons: 2
Source: RefSeq, a predicted model, not a curated record